GAUGAACGCUGGCGGCGUGCUUAACACAUGCAAGUCGAACGGUGAGGGCGGAGCUUGCUCUGCUGGAUCAGUGGCGAACGGGUGAGUAACACGUGAGCAAUCUGCCCCUGACUCUGGGAUAAGCGCUGGAAACGGCGUCUAAUACUGGAUACGAGCUGCGAAGGCAUCUUCAGCAGCUGGAAAGAACUUCGGUCAGGGAUGAGCUCGCGGCCUAUCAGCUUGUUGGUGAGGUAACGGCUCACCAAGGCGUCGACGGGUAGCCGGCCUGAGAGGGUGACCGGCCACACUGGGACUGAGACACGGCCCAGACUCCUACGGGAGGCAGCAGUGGGGAAUAUUGCACAAUGGGCGAAAGCCUGAUGCAGCAACGCCGCGUGAGGGACGACGGCCUUCGGGUUGUAAACCUCUUUUAGCAGGGAAGAAGCGAAAGUGACGGUACCUGCAGAAAAAGCGCCGGCUAACUACGUG
Molecule: ribosomal RNA, 468 nt
Filed under: uncultured bacterium
Lineage: Bacteria
Description: partial 16S ribosomal RNA
Rfam family: Bacterial small subunit ribosomal RNA
Source: RNAcentral